AUCUAUCUUUUAGUGCAACAGUAAGCAUUAAAUACUCAAAGUACAUAAAGUGCAAGGAAAAUUGAAGACUAUACAUGACAUAAUAAUAAUCAAAGUUGAAAAGGGGGUCGGAAAAUGUAAUAUAAACCUUCUUUUCCCAGACUUUGUUUUCCCAAAAAUGGUUAAUCUUUCUUGAGCAGCCUUAGUUGAAAGACCCUCACUGGUAGAUCUCAAGUUCUCAAACACUUCCUCAAUGGGAAUGUUCUCCUACACACAAACAAAGAAGAAAAACACACAUGAAACAUGUCAAAAAUGGACCCAUAAUUACUAUGAAACAAUUUACAUGAAAUAGAGUGCAAGUCCAAACAACGAGCAUAAAUCCAUGGUAAAGCAAGUUCAUUGACAUAGCCUUUCCCAUUAUUCCCAUCCCCAGAACUCAAUUUCCUCCAUUUCUAUUAGGUGCAAAAUUAAGCCUAAAAAUGCAAAUCCCCUCUCCUCUCGCUAUAUACACACAAUGCACGUAAGCCACCGAGCGCCUGGACAAUUGUGCAGAUAAAGCUGUGACCAUAUGCCAACGAUUGUGAUACUUGGGCUUUUCGGAGCUUAACCGUUUGGAUCUUCACUGCGAAGUAGACAAUUUCUAGGGUUUUAGAGGAGAGAUGUUGUGUGUUACAAUUGGUGAAUGGCAAAACAAUGGAUGUAAAGCCCAAAAAACAAUUAAUUUAGCCUUUCGAGAGAAAAUGAAUGGCAAAGAAAGGUUGUAAAAGCUGAAAAGCAAUUAAUUAAGCGUGUGAAAGAAGAUGGCAAAAGAAC
RNAcentral lists this long non-coding RNA (792 nucleotides) under Olea europaea subsp. europaea. The record is from RNAcentral. Lineage: Eukaryota; Viridiplantae; Streptophyta; Magnoliopsida; Lamiales; Oleaceae.